Molecule: ribosomal RNA, 344 nt
Filed under: uncultured bacterium
Lineage: Bacteria
Description: partial 16S ribosomal RNA
Rfam family: Bacterial small subunit ribosomal RNA
Source: RNAcentral
CCUACGGGCGGCAGCAGUGGGGAAUAUUGCACAAUGGGGGAAACCCUGAUGCAGCAACGCCGCGUGAAGGAAGACGGCUUUCUGAUUGUAAACUUCUGUUCUUAGUGAAGAAUAAUGACGUGAGCUAAGGAGCAAGCAACUGCGAACUACGUGCCAGCAGCCGCGGUACUACGUAGGUGGCAAGCGUUGUCCGGAUUUACUGGGUGUAAAGGGAGCGCAGGCGGGAAGCCAAGUCAGCUGUGAAAACUACGGGCUUAACUUGUAGACUGCAGUUGAAACUGGUUGUCUUGAGUGAAGUAGAGGCUGGCGGAAUGCCGAGUGUAGCGGUGAAAUGCGUAGAUAUU